CAGCAGAUGAACGAGCAAGGUGUUUAACGAACGCAAAGCGUGCAAACUGAAACGGGAAUGGACAUGGGCGGACCCAAACAGGGCGUCCCAAUGCCAACCGCCCCCGCGACUGUAUGCGGCGAGCUGCUUUUCAAAUGCCACUGACCGGGGUUCCGGUUGGGAAGGGGAAAAGCCGCUGUGACCCGCUAGUCAGGAGACCGGCCUUGCAAAGAAACAAACC
RNAcentral lists this non-coding RNA (220 nucleotides) under Pseudorhodobacter antarcticus. Lineage: Bacteria; Pseudomonadati; Pseudomonadota; Alphaproteobacteria; Rhodobacterales; Paracoccaceae. The record is from RNAcentral.